This is a long non-coding RNA of Lathyrus oleraceus (garden pea), 871 nucleotides long. RefSeq lists it as uncharacterized. NCBI's taxonomy places the organism in Eukaryota, Viridiplantae, Streptophyta, Magnoliopsida, Fabales, Fabaceae. The record is from RefSeq and is a predicted model, not a curated record. The transcript has 2 exons.
GAUGAAGGUCUACUACAGAAACCCUUUUCAAUGAUGAGCGGUCAACGAAUCUCAUGGUUCCAAAGCCACCAUGUGUUGGAAAGGGUUCAGAUGUGAGAGAGGUAAAAGUGAGGGAGACCUCACGUGGGAUUCAUUUUUCAACUUCCUUCUCUCUCUACUCUGACCUACUCUCUCUCUCUACCUCUAACCUGCCCCACCACACUAACACAUUUCUUGCUUCUCUUUCCACCAAACCAAGAUCAACCAUAGUGGUUGUCUUAGAACAAGCAUGAACAUCAUGAAGAUGUUCAUACUUGAAACUCAGAUUUCACGAAAAUUGUCCAAAUCCAAAAUGAAAAAUAAAACCCUAGCCUAAAAAUAGUCCUUGAUCAAGAAUCCAUCGUCAAAAUAACCAAAUAAGCAACUAUGAGCCCAGAUAGGGCUCAUCCCUAAAUUUAACUUAACCCCUUAAUUCUGUAUGUCCAAAUUACACAUAACAUACAGCAAUAGAUAAAACAACGUUAAUAUGCAGGAAAAACAAAAGGAAAGUGAAUAAGAAGACCUCGCCAAUGGUUUAAACUUCGGUGAGACUUCGGCGACCAACCUCGGGGUUGAUGGCAUGUGAUAAAUAGUGUUGGGAUGGUGAAGUUGAGAGCCAUCAUGAGGCUCAUGUGGAGCCCAAAACAAACUUAACUUUCUUCUUUUUUCUUAUUUUUUAAUUAUCUUUUUUGUAAUUUUUAAUUAAUGUAUAAAUUUAUUUCUGGAUGUAUGAAGUAUGUAUGCAUAUUGGAGGGCUUUGUGUAGUGAAUUUCAAUGUAACAAAAAAACCCAGUUGUAAUGUAAUGCAAAUAAUGUAAUUUUGGUAAAUAACUCAAUUCAAUUUUAUAUAUGA